ACCCCAUGCCGAACUCAGAAGUGAAACGCCGUAGCGCCGAUGGUAGUGUGGGGUCUCCCCAUGCGAGAGUAGGGAACUGCUAGGCA
This 86-nucleotide ribosomal RNA is filed under the name Escherichia coli 07798. Lineage: Bacteria; Pseudomonadati; Pseudomonadota; Gammaproteobacteria; Enterobacterales; Enterobacteriaceae. The record is from RNAcentral.